Long non-coding RNA from Amblyraja radiata (thorny skate), 671 nucleotides. RefSeq lists it as uncharacterized. The transcript is spliced from 4 exons. NCBI's taxonomy places the organism in Eukaryota, Metazoa, Chordata, Chondrichthyes, Rajiformes, Rajidae. The record is from RefSeq and is a predicted model, not a curated record.
GGGUGGAUGGAAGAAAGAUCAAUGGCUGGGGGAUGAGGCCCAGACUGCAAUCUGGGCUCCAUUAAAUCUUCAAAUGAAUUGAUUUUUAUCUCUUGUCUUUUAUCUAGCCGUCCUUCAAGUGACAAUUUCUCUGGGCAAAGUGGAACUCAGUGUGGGCGAAUCCAAGUUCUUCACGUGCACAGCUAUCGGAGAAGCCAUCAGCAUCGAAUGGUACAGCCCUGAUGGGGAGAAGGUUGUCUCCAACGAGCGGGUGGUGGUGCAGACGGAGGGUGUGCGAUCACGGCUGACCAUCUACAAUGCCAACGAGGAGGAUGCCGGCAUCUACCAUUGCCAAGUGACUGACGCCGAUGGGAAUUCUCAGGAAGCCACCGUCCGGGUGGAAAUCUACAAAAAGCUGACCUUCCACGACAUCAGAUCCCCCCAGGAGUUCAGAGAGGGGGAGGAUGCCGACGUGAUCUGCCAGGUCAGCAGCUCGCCGGCACCGAUAGUAACCUGGCUGCACAACAACCACGAGAUCACCACCGUGCUCAGGGACAACGUUAUGUUUGAUGACGACGGCAACUUGAAGAUUCGACGCAUUAGUAAGAAACACGAAGGCAUCUACAGAUGUGAGGGGCGAGUGGAGGCAAGGGGAGAGAUUGAUUUCAGAGACAUCACUGUCAUUGUCAAUG